ACACAGAGAAGAUGAAGAGUGGACACUAGGGGACAAGGAACAAGGAUAAAAUCACAAGUCUUAGAGACAUCUAUCUGGCUCUACAAUGGCACCCCAGAAAGGCAGGGAGUGGUGAAUAAUUUAACAAUGGUACAGAAAAGCAUUUUGCACUUCAACAAAGCACAUAAAAAUGGAAUAACCUUUAGUUCAAAACAAAUUUCAUCUUAAAGCCAAUUCUCCUUAUUUCUUCUUACACUUUCAAAGCUGACUCCGCAAAACAAAAGCUGGAGGCUCUACUGUAGCUACUGAUCUCGGAGUUUCCAUGAAGCUAUUAUUGCAACCUGCGGUCCUGCAAUCAUUAGGGAUGACCAUCUCAGUGACAACAGGAGACUCAGAGGGCUAAGCAAAGUGGUGUGCACAUGAUACUGGAGACUGGAGAACCUGGGCAUGACAUUGCUCACCUGGGCACAGUGGCUGGGAACUCAGACUCUGUCUUUAACCAAUUGCAUUAAUGUUCUCUUCAGUCCACUCAUGGCUUUAGGACCUUGCUUCUGGACAUGGAGAAAGAUCAUCAACUUUAACUAUUCUUAUAACUUUAGAUAACAACAAGGAAGUUAUUUCUCCCAAAGAUGGAGCUGUCAUUCCUGCAGCUCAGCCUACUUCCACUCAGGCUCUUCUGGAGACAACUCUCUCAGAGGAAUAGAUUAAUGAGAAGCAGGGGAGCUAUCACAUGGCAUAUCACCUGCACCUUUGUGUGAGUCUUCAGGGAACUCAGAUUCUCUUCAGAAAGGCUUAUGUGACCUCUUUUAAAACACAAUGCAGGACAAAGAAAUAAACUUCUUUAAAAUUUUGAAUUAA
RNAcentral lists this long non-coding RNA (837 nucleotides) under Mus musculus (house mouse). RNAcentral describes it as "predicted gene, 33125". Lineage: Eukaryota; Metazoa; Chordata; Mammalia; Rodentia; Muridae. The record is from RNAcentral.